Alosa sapidissima (American shad) is the source of this 293-nucleotide long non-coding RNA. RefSeq lists it as uncharacterized. Lineage: Eukaryota; Metazoa; Chordata; Actinopteri; Clupeiformes; Clupeidae. The record is from RefSeq and is a predicted model, not a curated record. The transcript is spliced from 3 exons.
UACAGAGCCAGAAGGACUCGUCAUAUGAGAUAACAAGGGCUGAAGCCAGUUGGAUCUAAAGUGCCAAGUUAUUCGUUAUCAGGUGUUCCUGGACAGUUUUGAAACCGAGAUGUCUGAACGCCUCAAAUAAUCAGCAGUAAAGACAACAGAGACAAAUUCUCUAAUACCAAGGUCAAUGCAUUUGACUGCUGUCCAGCCCCGGGUUGCCACCGAAAACUUUAUGCAUCUUGGACUGGAAGAUGGUGUGCUAGUAAGGAAGCUAGCUACCACAGCUUUUGCCACCACAUCUCAGU